ACCUGCGGAAGGAUCAUUGUCGUGACCCUGAACAAAAUAGACUGUGAACAUGUCAUCUAUGCUACCGUUUGAUGGUGCUUGCACCUAUCUCUCGGUCUAGGCCACCCGACCUUCUUCGUGAUGGACGGGGAGCCAAAAGAACCCACGGCGUCGUAUGGCGUCAAGGAAAACAUAAAUUGCCUAGCUUGGGGCACGGCCGGCUUGCCGGACGAACCUCUUGCUGCUAUGAAAUUUAACAUGACUCUCGGCAACGGAUAUCUCGGCUCUUGCAUCGAUGAAGAACGUAGCAAAAUGCGAUACCUGGUGUGAAUUGCAGAAUCCCGUGAACCAUCGAGUUUUUGAACGCAAGUUGCGCCUAAGGCCUUUUGGCCAAAGGCACGUCUGCCUGGGCGUCACGCCAAAAGACACUCCACACGAAUCCCGGUAUGGAUGUGGUAUUUGGCCCCUCAUAACACAUUAUAUGAUGGGCUUAAGAUCUGGCUGCUGGCGGUGCCGAUCACAGCACAAGGUGGAUGACAUAAGUUAUUCUCGGUGUUAUGAUGUGGACACUCCCCGCCAUGUUAUGGCCAUUUUUGGACCCAUGGUUUUGAGUGCAUGUUGCUCGGUCUAUGACCCCAGGUCAGUCGGGAUUACCCGCUGAAUUUAAGCAUAUCAAUAAGCGG
This 662-nucleotide ribosomal RNA is filed under the name Chloris amethystea. RNAcentral's name for it is "eukaryotic LSU rRNA". The stretch from base 240 to 395 matches the Rfam family "5.8S ribosomal RNA". The record is from RNAcentral. Lineage: Eukaryota; Viridiplantae; Streptophyta; Magnoliopsida; Poales; Poaceae.